UCGUAACAAGGUUUCCGUAGGUGAACCUGCGGAAGGAUCAUUAAUUAUGUUAAAGCGCCUUACCUCUUAGGGUUUCCUCUGGGGUAAGUGAUUGCUUCUACACUGUGAAAAUUUGGCUGAGAGACUCAGACUGGUCAUGGGUAGACCUAUCUGGGGUUUGAUCGAUGCCACUCCUGGUUUCAGGAGCACCCUUCAUAAUAAACCUAGAAAUUCAGUAUUAUAAAGUUUAAUAAAAAACAACUUUUAACAAUGGAUCUCUUGGUUCUCGCAUCGAUGAAGAACGUAGCAAAGUGCGAUAACUAGUGUGAAUUGCAUAUUCAGUGAAUCAUCGAGUCUUUGAACGCAGCUUGCACUCUAUGGUUUUUCUAUAGAGUACGCCUGCUUCAGUAUCAUCACAAACCCACACAUAACAUUUGUUUAUGUGGUAAUGGGUCGCAUCGCUGUUUUAUUACAGUGAGCACCUAAAAUGUGUGUGAUUUUCUGUCUGGCUUGCUAGGCAGGAAUAUUACGCUGGUCUCAGGAUCUUUUUCUUUGGUUCGCCCAGGAAGUAAAGUACAAGAGUAUAAUCCAGCAACUUUCAAACUAUGAUCUGAAGUCAGGUGGGAUUACCCGCUGAACCUAAGCAUAUCAAU
RNAcentral lists this unclassified non-coding RNA (632 nucleotides) under Rhizopus arrhizus. RNAcentral's name for it is "sequence contains 18S rRNA gene, ITS1, 5.8S rRNA gene, ITS2, 28S rRNA gene". The stretch from base 239 to 392 matches the Rfam family "5.8S ribosomal RNA". Lineage: Eukaryota; Fungi; Mucoromycota; Mucoromycetes; Mucorales; Rhizopodaceae. The record is from RNAcentral.